Molecule: RNA transcript, 1113 nt
Organism: Zea mays
Lineage: Eukaryota; Viridiplantae; Streptophyta; Magnoliopsida; Poales; Poaceae
Gene name: nuclease HARBI1 pseudogene
Exons: 4
Source: RefSeq, marked validated
GUUUCCCCACGGGCGGGGCGACGAAAUCACCGCUCUGCUCCGACGUCCAGCUCUACUCGCGAGCAGGACAUCACCGCGCGUCCACCAUCUCUGGCUUGCUGUCCUCCGCGCGUCAUCUCCAUCCCUGGCUUGAGAUAUGGGUUCUUGGGAAGAGCUAGCUAGGCAGUUUUUGUUGGAGGAAGAAGAAGACGAUGAGGAGUUUUUCUUUAUUCUUCUCCCUGCUAUACUUCCAUUCCUCUCUGAAGAGAAAAGGUCUAUCCAUACCUCCUCUCUCUCUGGUGCCCAAAAGGUUAAGGAGAUUCUUGAAGGGCAUGAGAGUUGGUGCAAGUCCGAGUUUCGAAUGGAGCCAGAAAUAUUUAGAGCCACAUCAGAAUUCCUUAGAAGAGAGGGUUUGUUACGUGAUACACGAGGAGUUAACGUCGAAGAGCAGCUUGGGAUGUUUAUGUAUAUGAUCUCCCACAAUGCCAGUAACCAAAUGCUUCAAAAGGCUUUCCAACAUAGUGGAGAGACUAUCCAUCGAAAAAUAUCAGAAGUUUUCGAUAUAGUUCCCACUCUAACUCAGCGAUUCGUGAAGCUUCCCAAUUCUAUCCAGACACAUCCAAAAAUUAUAACUGAUUCUAGGUUCAUGCCCUUUUUUUAGAAUUGCAUUGGAGCAAUUGACGGAACCCAUGUACCUAUCACCAUUGCAGAAGAUAAGGCUCCUCCUUACCGAAAUAGGAAAGGGUCACUUUCACAAAACGUGAUGUUGGCAUGUGAGGUGAAUGUGGCGAUGAAGAGAUGGGCUUACAGUGUGUUAAGUGGAAGCAACACAUGAAGCGGACAUGGAGAAGGAAGCUGGCAUGACACUAAAACGCAUAAAGUUGACUUGUGACGUUCAUGUUUUAGAUGUCUUAUUCUACUGCCAAACUUCCUAGUACUCCAUUUUUAUACUAUAUUGUCUAUCUGUACGUGUGAAUGGAGAUGAUGAUAUUAUGUGAUGUGAUGAUGGAUGGAUUAGCUUCGUUGAAUAUUAGAUGAUAUUAUGUGAUGAUGAUAUUAAACGGGCAUUGUAGUAUUGAUACAUGCUUCAUAUUUCUGGAUUUUUAGUGAUGUUUUAUUGUUUAUGAGUUUUCU